Astatotilapia calliptera (eastern happy) is the source of this 7506-nucleotide long non-coding RNA. Lineage: Eukaryota; Metazoa; Chordata; Actinopteri; Cichliformes; Cichlidae. The record is from Ensembl.
GCUUUUCCCCGGCUUCGUAAAGUAGUAGCAUAUUGCUAAGCGGAAAAGUUAACGGCGAUAGUCAAAUGUAGCAGCAUUAUUUUAAUUCUCUGUAACUAGCAGACAUAUCAGUGGCCACUGUGGAAUCAACACUACCCAGGUGGGCUGUUUUCAAGUGUAGUAUCGUCUCAAAAUAGCACCACAGUCCUUACGUCUGCUGUUUUACAUCAAAAAUAAUACCAGCACGGUCCGAGACGAGGGGAAAAAUGCCAUCGAGAAAUCACCUUGAUAAAAUCGGGAGGAAGAAAAAGAAGAGGUGGACAGAGGACGCCAUGGAGCGUGCACUGAUAGAGGUCAAGUCAGGCAGGUGCACAGUGAGACAAGCCGCCAAGGAGUUUGGAGUCCCUAAAUCUUCACUGGGGGACAGAGUCAGUGGACGGGUGACCCCUGGGAGCCGUAGCGGCCCGGCUCAGCUUAUAACAUCUGCUGAUGAGGAGUUGUUGGUCGAGUUCUCCUUAUACAUGUCCAGGCAUGGAUUCCCACUUACAAAGCAGCAGCUGGUGUCCUUCGCAUCGUCAAUUUAUAAGCGGCAACACCGGAGGGUGGCAUUUUCCAAACUGGGCCAGACAUGGUGGCUCAAUUUUAGAAAGAGACAAGAGAAAAACAUCACUAUUCAGCCAGCAGACAAUGUUGUCCGUGGGAGGACUGUGUCAGUGAGAAAGGAAGCAGUAGAUCAGUUUUUUCACCUCCUGAGGACUGUUGUAGAUGCUCAUGAGCUCAUAGACAAGCCUCACCAAAUUUUCAACUGCAAUGACACAGACUUUCAGCUGAGUAGGAAGAGGGUGACUCUCCCCAAAUCUGUCGGUCUAGGCUACAAGCCAGCGCCAGGCUCCAGGGACCAUGUCUCCGUCUUGGCUUGCUUUAAUGCGGUUGGAGAGGACAUCCCCCCAUUUAUAAUCUACUCAAAGGCCUAUCCAGGGGGAGUAUGCUACAAGACACAAGGACCACCGAAUGCCCUAUACGGGUGGUCAGACUCGGGAUGUAUCAAUUCAGACCUCUUUAAGAAAUGGUUCCUCAAACAUUUUCUCGUGCACGCACCAAAGGAGCGUCCACUGCUGCUGAUUUUCGAUGGCCACAAGUCACCCGUGAACCUGGAGGUGGUGGAAACAGCUCGUAAGGAGGAUGUCAUUCUUCUGUGCCUCCCACCUCAUUGCUCCCACAUCCUCCAGCCACUCAAUGACGGUCUCUUUGUGGUCCUCAAGCAGCACUUUGCUUCAUUCCUAGGCGACGGCUACACUACUGACACCCACUUUGCAGUUAGCAAAAAGGAGUUCUCAGGGGUUUUCAAAGGAACAUAUCAGGUAGCAAAGGAGGAGGAAGGUGUGAGAAUUGUGAAGGAAGGCUUUAGGAAAUCUGGGAUCUACCCACUGAACCCCUUCACCAUCUGUGACAGACACAUGAUAUCAGCCCACCACCCUGGCCAGAUAGCUGCACCCUCCUUGUCAACACCAGUGCCGGGAGUGCACACUGUAGGAGACCUCACAGAUGCUGGGCCGUCUUCCUAAUUCAUCGCUAUAAAAAUGAAAGUGUGAUUGACUGCAUAAUUGAGCAAAGCAGAAAUGAACACAGGCUCGUUCUGUCUUUCAAAAUACUGAAUUAAUUACAGUCCUGUUUUUUUAAUAUAGUGAACCACCUCCUGCUGCCUCCCUGCAGAGAGCCCUGUUUGAGGAAGGCUUGCAUUGUUAUUAAUUACUACUCAACAAUGAGCUCAGUUUUAGUUAUCUGGUAAUAAUGUUUGAAUGAUGCACAACUGUGGUUUUCAAUGGGUUGGGAGUCCCAAGGUGAACAUGAUUUUCAAAAGGAUAUUAAAAGAAAAAUAGAGGAAAUAUUUCUGCUUAACAAAAAUCUGUAAUUUCUCUUCAUAAAUGCUUCCAUCUUCUUGUGAAUUAUUGGAUGGCAAGCCAUUUAAAUUAAGUGACCCAUAAAAGAAAAACACUUGCAAAGCACUCACAAGUUGCUUCAGCCUAGGGGAUUGUGAGCAAAAGGACAUUUGUAGAUAUUCAGUGCCAUCUUUUUUUGGUAUUGCUGGCCAGUCAGGUAGCGAAGCUAACCAUCAUUGGUAAGGGGCAUGAUUUCAGUUUAGUGGUCUCUGACAGCAAGUGAGGGAGGGGAGGCUGUGAGGUGUGAGUUGCCCGAGCAGUUCUGCACAGAUAUAACACCGGUGCUUCACUCUGUCAUUUGUUUUAUGUAUCUAAGUAAUGUGACAAAUUCACUCGAUUAUCUCAAACACACUGGAACGGAUAAAAGAAUGGAUUUAAAGCUUGGGCACAUUUUCAUAUGUUAUCUGUUGUAGACGUCUGAUAACUACACUUUAUGCUGUGCAAGAUGUCUCUGAAGCACAAUCAAGCCUCUUAACUACCAGACUGAUUUUGAGUGGAAGUUGGAACCAUUUAUUGAAGGAUGUGUCAUCAACAGAUGAUGCAGCUGUAGAAUAUGAUACACCUACUGCUGUUGUCAUGGUUUUCUUUGGAGGUCAAAGAAAAUAUGUCCAUUUUUGGUUCCAACGGUUGUUGUCUUUUUUUCCCUAAAUAGUUUAAAAUUGUACAUGUGAUUCUGUUGUUCCUUUACUUACAUCUACUGGCCUCUUUGUUAGGUACGCCUGUUUAGCUUCUCAUUAAUGCAUAUAUCAAGUCAGCCAAUCACAUGGCAGCACUGUGCUAUCAUGUUAAUGUAGAUCAUAAUCUCAGGAAGGUUUCCAGCAUGUUGUUGAAUCUAUGGUAUGAAUAAUUAAGACAGUUCUGGAGGAAAAGGGGUCCAACCCAGUACAAGCAAGGUGUACAUAAUAAAGUGGCCUGUGAACAUAAGUAUCCUGAAUAAUUGUGAACACAGAAACUGAUAUAAAAGUAAACCCAAGACCUUUUUAAAUAAUUUGCUUCUUUCUGUUCACCUGGAAGAAUGAACCCUACGUGAUCUCAGGGGGAAAAGUCAGACAUCUAGAAUAAAGAUAUUUUUAAAUGUGUUUGAAGCAAAAAUUUGUCCAUAACCUUAAUAAUUUACAAAAUUUUGCUGUAGCCAUAGUUGAGUGUGUGUGUGUGUCUGUGUUAUGUACAUGUUCAGGCUGAGUGAUGUAAUGUCAGUGCAAUUGAUACAUUUGCCGACAAUAGUCGGGCAGCUAAGGCUGACGUAUCCUUUAUUUAGUAGAAAUAUUGUGCAACCAAGCAGAAGAACAUCUUUCUGUUCUAUUACCUGUAUAAAAUAACUCUGUAUAUGACUAUAAUUAUUGGAUGCCUAUAUCAAAAUCAUAAUUUUAAUGCACAGGGGUAUUAAUAUUAACAUUAACCUUUUUUUUUUAACAAAGCUGGAAAAACAUUUGUCACAUACCAUAUAAUUAACAAUCUCAUAUGUUAAGUUGUUCCCUAGAAAGCUUUUGCUACAGUAUUCAAGGAAAAAAUACGCAUGUGUCCUACAGGGAAGCACCCCAGUAAGAUUAACGUUUGAUCAACCAGCUUAAGUGUAGGUCACACUGCAGUGUACUUUAGAGUUUUAUGGAUGCGGUACAGAUGCCCAGGGCUAAGUUAAUGUUUUUGUACUGUAUGUUAAUAUCACAGAUGGUGAUUUGUGCCUGAAGCCUGGAAUAUUUUUAGUUAUGAUUCAAUGACACAGCACAGUCGAAGGACAAUUUGAGUUUAACUUGCAGAACUGCCACCACACUGUGUGGUGCCAUACACAUGGGUCUAAUAUUUAAGUUUUACAUUAUUUUUCUUUUAAAAAAAAUAGAUUUACAGUCAUGGUAAAAAUUUAUGGCCUCUGUCAGUUCUGAGGUUUACAUAUGAGGGCAUAUUGAAAGUAAAUCAUGCUCUUAAAGUUUCUGAAAUACAACCUCAGACGAACAACAAUGCGUGACGUAUUACACGGUUUAAAAAAAACAAACUAAGCCAAAAUGCAGAAGGAGUGUGUGAAAAGAACAACCAGUGACUGAGUAGCUGGUAGAACCACCUUUAGCAACAAUAACUUGAAUAGCUUCCUGUAUGACUUUAUCAAUCUGCCACAUCAUUGCGGAGGAAUUUUGGUCCACUUUUCUUUAACUUGUUGCCUUUUUUCUUUUUCAGCCAUUCUGUUAUAGAGUUGCUGAUGUGAUUGGAUUCAUUGUCCCGUUGAAAGAACCAGUUUUGGACAAGCUGUAGCUGUCAGACAGAUGCCCUCACAUUUGACUCUAAGAAUACUUUGGUAUACAGAGGAGUUCAUCAUGGUCAAGUUAGUGAUAUCAAGGUGCCCACUUCAUGUGGCUGCAAAACCAGCCCAAAUCAUCACCCGUCCACCAACAUGCCUAAGAGUUGCUAUAAAAUGUUUGUGCAUUUUUUUUGUUGUUGUUUGUUUGUUUUGGGGGGUGUUUUACCAAACAUGAAACUACACACUAUGGUCAGACAUCUCCACUUCUGUUGUUCAGUCUUUUCCUGGUUGCACUGUCACAAAUUUUAACAUUUUGCAUGCUAACUGAGGCCUAUAGACUCUGAUUUGAUUUCUCUAAGCACCUUAGGGCGAAUUUGGUGAUAAGGCUGUACUUAGUUCUUCACACACUACUUCUGCAUUUUUGCUUUGUUGUUGUCUUUAAAAAAAAAAACAUAUUGUAAUAUGUGAAGUUUUAAAGUUCAUCUGAAGUUAUAUUUACCAAGCCAUGGUAAGGACUAGACUAUUAUUUUUCAUAUGUGCGGAUGCUUGAAACCUUAGAAAUGAAAGUUGUUGUUUUUUUUGUUUGUUUGUUUUACCAUUUCUGUGUAUUUGUCAGUUAAAUCCGGUGUGCCUGAGCAACGUUUACAUUCAAAAGUGUUUUUUCUUUUUUAAAAUAAUUUUGCAGCACUCACUCAAAUCUCCUGGCUGCCAACCGGACUUGUGAACUCCUAGCUGGAAUAGGUUUAGUUUCCACAUCUGUGUUCGUUCUGCAACACAGAAGAGGUUGCUGUGACACUGAGACAGGACAGCUUCAAUUAUCCCUUUCAAUUAAAAAAAACAAAAUUUUAAAACGCAAUUUUUGAAGUUGCAUCUCAAUCACUGUGAGUACCCCGCUGUGUCUUGUUCUUUCUUGGCAUCAUUUGAUCUUUGGAUCCAGCUGCCGUCCUUUUUUAAUGUAGACCGCACCCUGAUGUUUUGAAGCACCUGGCUUCUGUUAAUAUCUACAACACACACACACUUUUAUCAGUACUGCAUACCAAGAAAUAGUUUUUUCUUCCAUGUUUAAUCUUAUCAAAUACUCACCUUUUGACAUGCUGCUGAUGUUUUCUCAGAUGUUCAACCUGAGGAAAUAUUUGAUGAUAAACUUUCUGUACGUUUUAUCUGUCAUACUCUACACUCAUUCCCAACUCACCCCCUUUCGCAACCUGUAAAGCUGUAUUCCUAUACACAAAAAACUCAUCCACCAUGAUAAAGUGAUAUUGAAGCAUUUACGCUUUGUUAUUAACACAUGUGGACAGUUAUUAUUAUCUGAAUAAAACCAUUUGAGCAUACCAGAAGACAUUCCACAAUAAAACUUGUGCAAAAAUCUAAUCUGCUUGUAAACACUAUUAACAAAUGUAUCUCGUGCUCUCCCCAGUCUCUCUGCAUCUUGUCAUAUUGCGCAUCUGUUCUGUAUUCUCUUCAAGCGCCUGUUAACAUUUUGACCUGUGCUUAGUGCUUUAAUCUCUUGUGAUGAAUCUUUCUGGAGAUGUGCCAGCCCCAAUUAAGCAGGUCAAAUUCAUUAUUCAUAGAAAAGGAAAGCAAUUCAGAUUUGGUAAUGAGGCCUUCCUCACACAGGCCACGAACAGGGGUGUGAAGUCCAUUUUUGUGCCGUAUUGUGUUCUCACCUGUUUGUGUCAGAGCAGAUCAGUGCCGGUCCUCCUCCGGGUCUCUGUGACACGCAAAUAAGAUGGCAGAAAUACCUCCACCAGAGCCCCCACCCCCUGCAGUUUCAGAUCCCGCCCCCCUCCCCUGUUAGUUUUGAAGUGCCGCACCUGGAUGAUGCUACACAGGCUCAUUGAGCAAGCGGAUAGGCUGGGUGAUAAGAGGGGCAGCACUGUUUUGUGGUUUCGAUUUUUCUGAGUGUGAGAGGUCACAUUCCAGAGAUGUUUUCUAGUGAGAUUUUCAGUCUUUGCUAAGAAGCAAAUUAAAAAUAGGCUUUUAUAACCUGCCUGACAGCUUAAAGGUAUUUAAAUGAACCCUGCAGGUUAGUACUUGAUGCUGUUUUCUUUCCUACUAAUGGCUAUAGCAGGGGAUUAAACUGAACUCAAUUCUGCUCAAUAUUAAUGUAAUCUCUUUAUACACUUAUUGGUGAGACCCUCCACAACAGUCCCAGUUUCUCAUGUGGUCCCAUGGGAAAAUUAAUUGCCCAUCACUGAACAAUAGCCUUUGAAAAAAAGUAGACAACUGAAAACCUGCAUAUCAUUAACCACAAAAGUUUUUUUUUUCAAAUAUAAAAAGCUUGUAGUAUUGUUUCACCCACAACAAAGACUUUCUUUCACAAGCAUACUGUUCCAGUUGGUAGGCUUCUAGGAAUCAAGCGGGACCAGAUCUCAGAGUUGUUAGAAUUUAAUCUACUGUCUCAUCAGACCUUUUUAAUAAUAUUUACAUUGAAAAUCCUUAAACCGAAAUGCCCAUUCUCUCCAGUGAAAAUAAAAGGGCACAGAGAAAAGCUUAACCUCAUUAUUUGAUGUUUACUUUACAUUUUAAUAAACUGAAAUAUUCACAUUUUGGUCUGUGGGUGUACAGGGGACUCUGUGUGCAAAAGAAAUUAAUGCGGUUUUUAGUUCUUGUUAUGACUGGUUCAUAGGGUAAACAGCAGGUUGGUGGUUGAAUUGCUGGCUGUUCCAGUUUGCAUGCCGAAAGCAUCCUUGGGCAAGAUACUGAACCCUGAGUUAUUUCCAAUGUGUUCAUUGGAGUGUGAGUGUUAGACAGGAAGUACUUUAUGUGUGAAUAAACAUAUUGUAUAAAGUCCUUUGAGUGCUCAGGUAGAGCAGAAGCCAGUAUAUAAGAACUGGUCCAUUUACUUUUCAGGUUUUUAAAUGUAAGAGUAUUCGCUUUCUUUCACUGAGGCUAACUCAAAACCUGUAGAGAUGCCAUGAAAAUGUUUAACUUUUUUUUGUAACUGUGUCAUUCUUUUUUACUUUUCCAGUUUCCUUACUUCAGUUUGUAAAGUUUCACAAUAGGGAUGGAUGUGUGUGUGUGGGUGCACAAGUAUAAGUAUAUAUAUCUGUAAAUUUGUAUAUCUUUUGACGUGUUACUCACGUUAUAAAAGCAAAUACAUGUAACAAAUUGUAAGGAAGAAUUUAUGAUGGGUAGUGCAUGGACAGGAAGAAAAAGUGUUGACUAUUAGUUACUAAAUUGUGGAAAGGUGGUGGGAUUAAAUAAGCUUAUGCUUUUUCCUACUCCUUUUUGAACAUGUAAGUUAUUUAUAAUUAUUAUUGUUUUGUUUUCCUUUAGUUUUGAUUUGCUUGUUUGUCUAUUUAAACAUGUUCAAAAUAAAGAUACAAUAAAAUUACAAAUAAAAGUAUUGCUGCU